CUGCGAAGAGGGCCAACCCUGCUUUUCCAUAUAAAACAGCCCUGUAGAAAUGUUUCUUACAAUAUUUUUAAAUUCCCCCCCCCCUGACCUUUUUAAUUCUCAAAUAGUUCAUUACACAUUUAUUGGUUAGUGUUAGAAAAGGGGUUGGGGUCUGUUUAUCCAUACCUUAUCUUAAAUAUUCCGACUACAGUACAAAUAGCAAAUGGGCUAUUCCAUUUAAUAUCCGUACCCCCCCUGUCGAGGAUACAUGUUUUUCAUUGUCAUACCCCUGAAGAAUUCCAAGCUCAAAACUGUUUACCCCUGAAGAAUUCCAAAAUUCCAAGCUCAAAACUCUUUACCCCUGAAGAAUUUCAAGCUCAAAACCUUUUACCCCUGAAGAAUUCCAAAAUUCCAAGCUCAAAACCCUUUACCCCUGAAGAAUUCCAAGCUCAAAACCUUUUACCCCUGAAGAAUUCCAAGCUCAAAACCCUUCACCCCUAAAGAAUUCCAAGCUCAAAACCCUUUACCCCUGAAGAAUUUCAAGCUCAAAAUCUUUUACCCCUGCAGAAUUCCAAGCUCAAAACCCUUCACCCCUGAAGAAUUCCAAGCUCUGAAAAAUUUCAAUCUCAAACCUCUUUACCCCUGAAGAAUUCCGAGCUUAAAACCCUUUACCCCUGAAGAAUUCCAAGCUCAAAACCAUUUACCCCUGAAGAAUUCCAAACUCAAAACACUUUACCCCUGAAGAAUUCCAAGCUCAAAACACUUUACCCCUGAAGAAUUCCA
Paramuricea clavata is the source of this 762-nucleotide non-coding RNA. Lineage: Eukaryota; Metazoa; Cnidaria; Anthozoa; Malacalcyonacea; Plexauridae. The record is from the annotation of a GenBank genome assembly.